This 45-nucleotide non-coding RNA is filed under the name Pelagibacterium luteolum. Lineage: Bacteria; Pseudomonadati; Pseudomonadota; Alphaproteobacteria; Hyphomicrobiales; Devosiaceae. The record is from RNAcentral.
AGAAGGGCUUCCGGAGACGCGUUUUCGGGGGCCUUUUUCUUUUGC